UCCUUAUCUAAUUUUGAUUGUUGCUCAGAAAGCCCUCAUUAAAUAUCAGUUGGCUUUCGAGCUGCAAUUAAAAACAAAUAAGUG
This 84-nucleotide microRNA precursor is filed under the name Musca domestica (house fly). RNAcentral's name for it is "mir-315 microRNA precursor family". It matches the Rfam family "mir-315 microRNA precursor family". The record is from Rfam by way of RNAcentral. Lineage: Eukaryota; Metazoa; Arthropoda; Insecta; Diptera; Muscidae.